GACGAACGCUGGCGGCGUGCUUAACACAUGCAAGUCGAACGGAAAGGCCCUGCUUUUGUGGGGUGCUCGAGUGGCGAACGGGUGAGUAACACGUGAGUAACCUGCCCUUGACUUUGGGAUAACUUCAGGAAACUGGGGCUAAUACCGGAUAGGAGCUCCUGCUGCAUGGUGGGGGUUGGAAAGUUUCGGCGGUUGGGGAUGGACUCGCGGCUUAUCAGCUUGUUGGUGGGGUAGUGGCUUACCAAGGCUUUGACGGGUAGCCGGCCUGAGAGGGUGACCGGCCACAUUGGGACGGGGAUCCGGCCCAGACUCCUACGGGAGGCAGCAGUGGGGAAUAUUGCACAAUGGGCGGAAGCCUGAUGCAGCAACGCCGCGUGCGGGAUGACGGCCUUCGGGUUGUAAACCGCUUUCGCCUGUGACGAAGCGUGAGUGACGGUAAUGGGUAAAGAAGCACCGGCUAACUACGU
This 467-nucleotide ribosomal RNA is filed under the name uncultured bacterium. RNAcentral's name for it is "partial 16S ribosomal RNA". It matches the Rfam family "Bacterial small subunit ribosomal RNA", at positions 28 to 506 of the family's 1533-position model. The record is from RNAcentral.